UUGCGCUCCACAAGAUCGUGACAGCCAUUGGAGGCGGUGUAUCGGUUGCUAAGGCGCAGUCUUGAGGGCUGUAGUCGGGCCGUGAACGUCAUCUCCAUUCACUAAUUGAGUUAUCCAGCGCCUCUCAUCGAAAGAUCAGGCGAAAACCCUAGUGGGUUCACAUCAGUUGGUAAUCAGAGCAAGGUUUAUCGGUGAGAGAUUUCCAAUUCUUCGUGUUUGUUUUUCCUAUAGUCCAAAAAAAAGACAAAAAAUAUAGCAGAUUUGUUUUCCAUAAUCCUAUAAAUCCUUUGUGCCGUGGCUAGUACUACUUAGUUAGGGCUGGUUGAAUGAGUGUUUGCUUCGGUCGUGUCCAGUGCUGGUUUUAGUUUAGUCCUUUAGAGUUUUGAGUUCUUGUCACCAUCUAGUCACAACUGCGUCCAAUCUAUUGUGGGUUGGAAUUUGAGUAGAUCUUGAUAAUAGGUGCAGCCACCAUUGUCUAUUCUGCGUUUCCAUCAACGUGAUCCAAAAGGAAAGAUAGCACUUUAUACUUGUGCUAGAUAUAUUGAAUUUUGAGGUUCAGCCUUACUCUAGUGAGAGGGUGAGAGUGGUGAAGUGAUAUUUUGUACUAUUUCGUUUAUAUAAUCACGUUUUGAGGUUCCCCAAAAAAAAAGAAAAGAGAAAGAAAAAAAUAAAGAAAAAAAAGAAAGAAAGAAAGAAAAAAGAAAAAAAUCAAAAGAAGGGGAUUGUUGUUCCUUUUGUUUCCAGUAGGGCUGCUCAUUUUGUUUCUAGUGGUGUGCUGUGUUUUCCCUUUGUGUCCAGGCUCGCGUCUCUAGCACGGUCUAGGCUAGGACCAGCACAGUACCACCGUUGAGCGUUUAUUCAGCUCGCUUUUAUAACUAACGUGGUGCUAGUUCGUUCCUUGUUUCAGCCCACC
RNAcentral lists this long non-coding RNA (913 nucleotides) under Sorghum bicolor (sorghum). Its description in RNAcentral is "long non-coding RNA (SBIC_LNC002894)". Lineage: Eukaryota; Viridiplantae; Streptophyta; Magnoliopsida; Poales; Poaceae. The record is from RNAcentral.